UGAAAAAUUCAAGCUGAGAUGAAAAAGAAGGAUGUAAUGCUGCACCGAACUUCAUAAGGGUCAAAAACGUAUGUGCCAUAAAUCAGAGGUUUCAAUAUGGGUCACAUGACGUCCAUCUGGGGUACUGCAUAAUCUGACAUACAUGAGGAGGCCGUGCCAAUCUCAUCUCAGGCAGUAACUAGAGGCAACAAUCGAACCCAUGUUGCUAGGAUCCAUGUUGCAGUGUAGCUGUCACUUCACCUUCUCUGUCAACUUGUCACCCUGUUCUACAAACAAGACAAAGUUUUUUUGGCUAAAAUACAUAACAUUAUGUUUGAGAAGCAAAAAGUGCUAGAAGCAAUAAUCAAUAAAUGAUGUUCCACAUGU
Molecule: long non-coding RNA, 366 nt
Organism: Trichomycterus rosablanca
Lineage: Eukaryota; Metazoa; Chordata; Actinopteri; Siluriformes; Trichomycteridae
Exons: 3
Source: RefSeq, a predicted model, not a curated record